UUGCACGCUGGCGGCAUGCCUUACACAUGCAAGUCGCACGGCAGCAUGAUCUAGCUUGCUAGAUUGAUGGCGAGUGGCGAACGGGUGAGUAAUACAUCGGAACGUGCCCUGUAGUGGGGGAUAACUAGUCGAAAGAUUAGCUAAUACCGCAUACGACCUGAGGGUGAAAGUGGGGGACCGCAAGGCCUCAUGCUAUAGGAGCGGCCGAUGUCUGAUUAGCUAGUUGGUGAGGUAAAGGCUCACCAAGGCGACGAUCAGUAGCUGGUCUGAGAGGACGAUCAGCCACACUGGGACUGAGACACGGCCCAGACUCCUACGGGAGGCAGCAGUGGGGAAUUUUGGACAAUGGGCGAAAGCCUGAUCCAGCAAUGCCGCGUGUGUGAAGAAGGCCUUCGGGUUGUAAAGCACUUUUGUCCGGAAAGAAAUGGCUCUGGUUAAUACCUGGGGUCGAUGACGGUACCGGAAGAAUAAGGACCGGCUAACUACGUG
This 489-nucleotide ribosomal RNA is filed under the name uncultured bacterium. RNAcentral's name for it is "partial 16S ribosomal RNA". It matches the Rfam family "Bacterial small subunit ribosomal RNA", at positions 30 to 507 of the family's 1533-position model. The record is from RNAcentral.